RNAcentral lists this small RNA (107 nucleotides) under Marmota monax (woodchuck). The record is from RNAcentral. Lineage: Eukaryota; Metazoa; Chordata; Mammalia; Rodentia; Sciuridae.
GCUGGGUGUGGUAGCCCAUGCUUGUAAUCCCAGUCACUCCGGAGGCUGAGGCAGGAGGAUUGCAAGUUUGAGGCCAGCCUCAGCAAUUUAGCAAGAACCUAUCUCAA